UGGGGUGGGGAUGUAGGUAGGCAGAUUGGACCCUGGACGUGUGAGGCCCUGGAGAGAGGAGGAGAAGAGCAGGAGGAACAGAAGUGAAGACUGCAGGAAGAAGAUCAACCACUGGAUCAGGUUGAGCAGAGCCGCAUCCAGCUUGGAUCCAAUGCCCCCAGGACCUGACAGCCUGAGAAGUCCCUGCUCAGCUUUCCUGAAGCCCCCCUCAGAGACUGGAGUCACCACAGGAGGUGGUCAGAUAGAUGUGAGACACAGGAAGAUCCCAAUGGGCUCAAGCUGUCUUCAUUUCUGCAUCUCCCAGGAGCUUCGCCAUGAGGUGAUCCCAGAAGCAGCACUUGGAAACACAGGACACAUCCCAUGCACAUCAGCUUGGAGGAUGAGUUAGGUCCCCAGCAUCUGGGCCAGCAGCGGUGUGGGCAGCAGGAGCAGGGACAAGACUGCCAUGUGCUUAGCAUUGGCUGAGUACAGGACCUGCCUGGCAAACACUCAAGAGUCCUCCCAUUCCCAGUGGGAGACUGAUCUGAGGAGGCAGAUCAUGGGCACCACACGCUGGGAGAAGCUGCUGGCAGUGUUCUACUCUGAGUGAAUCACUUCAAGACAUUAAAGAGAGUCCAGGCUGGGGAUUA
Pogoniulus pusillus (Red-fronted tinkerbird) is the source of this 629-nucleotide long non-coding RNA. RefSeq lists it as uncharacterized. Lineage: Eukaryota; Metazoa; Chordata; Aves; Piciformes; Lybiidae. The transcript has 5 exons. The record is from RefSeq and is a predicted model, not a curated record.